This is a long non-coding RNA of Oncorhynchus nerka (sockeye salmon), 4525 nucleotides long. RefSeq lists it as uncharacterized. The transcript is spliced from 3 exons. The record is from RefSeq and is a predicted model, not a curated record. Lineage: Eukaryota; Metazoa; Chordata; Actinopteri; Salmoniformes; Salmonidae.
CACUAGCGUUUCAUGUUGUCAGAGCGCACCUUCCCUCUUAAUUGAUAACCACUGCCAUUUGAUCUGAAGGCGUUCAAACACACAGUCUAUCUUUGUGCCUCCAAUAAGAAAACCAUCUGUUGUUGCUGAGCGAUCGUUCAUUACAAUGUAUUUCCUACUGCAGGAAUAUCUCACCAGCUGAAUUCCUGGACACCAUGGGUGCCUGUAGAUAAACUCCUGUAGGGCCUCCAGCCUCAGUCCAGACAUAACUGAUCAUGACACAGAGCCUUGGAGACGGAGUGAGGGAUAGGAGGUGAAGACAUGUCGGGUAGACAUGGCCCUUCCACAAGGCCUGGCCAAUAAGAGCUCAGAUAUCUAGGAGGGCCAAGCUGUGUGUUUAGAACAGCAGCGGAGGCCAGGCUUCCUUUUGUUCUAAGUCUGAUGAGGAGGGGAACCCUGCUAGGCUGCUAUGAGCGCUCAUCAUCGCCCUGCGCAGCCCCACAGCCCUGCCAAGCUGUCGACAGCACAUUUCUCACAGACUGGGGGGUGUGAUUGACAGGGUAAGGAGUAAGGAGAGCAGCUUUUGGUACAGAGAGAUCUUUAUCUUCCUGUAAGGCAGAUAGAUGUACCACAGUGUUCUGCUAAGGACCCAGGGACGGAACGUUGGGUGAGAAUAGAACACAGAAUGUACAGUAGAGAUGCUUCUAGAACUGGUGUGUGUUGUGGUGUCAACCUAGACUUGACCUUUUGUUGCAGAUAAACACACACAUACAUAGAUAGAAUCACAAAUAACAACAUUAGCCAUAAAAAAGUAUUCUUUAGAAUUACACUGUUGAGUUUGUUGUUUCAUGGUCACCUUGGGUUGUGCUCAUGAAUCUCUGUAAAUUGUGGCACGUAAGAUAAAAUAUCAAUAUUUCUUGUGCAAGUCCAGGCAGUCAAUGUCAAAGGCGUUUUUUCAAGUUCUGCAUCAACAAAGCAAUUUGUUUCCCUUGAGUAUACUAAUUUCUGGAUUUCACAGUGGCAGGUGUUAUGGCUGCCAGUCAUUAUAUGAAAAUCAGCAAAAUCCUAACCAUGGUGCUUAUCCUCCUGACAAAAUGGGACUGAUUCCUUCUGCCUGAUUUGACAACCUGGUCUCAGAGCAUUUUCUAUUAUUCUGUAUGUAAAUCCGAGACACUCUAUUUAGUAUGAUAUGUUACGUUUCAUAUGGCACAGUAUGUAUUAAUUUGUGGAUGUCCAUCACCCAUUUCAUAUGAUAUGUUACGAAUAACCAUUUUUAUUACAUGUUAUGCAUUUUCAAAACAUACAAUAUGUUACGCAUUCGCAAAAAAAUUGAGCAUCCCAAAUUUACAUUUAGUGUGUUACAUCUAGUCUCUGAGACUGGGCUGGAUUUGAGGGAGGGCAGGCAGAAGACAGGUUAACUUUCUGAUUUGAGGGAGGGCAGGCAGAAGACAGGUUAACUUUCUGAUUUGAGGGAGGGCAGGCAGAAGACAGGUUAAGUUUAUGAUUUGAGGGAGGGCAGGCAGAAGACAGGUUAACUUUCUGAUUUGAGGGAGGGCAGACAGGAGACAGGUUAACUUUCUGAUUUGAGGGAGGGCAGGCAGAAGACAGGUUAACUUUCUGAUUUGAGGGAGGGCAGGCAGAAGACAGGUUAACUUUCUGAUUUGAGGGAGGGCAGGCAGGAGACAGGUUAACUUUCUGAUUUGAGGGAGGGCAGGCAGGAGACAGGUUAACUUUCUGAUUUGAGGGAGGGCAGGCAGAAGACAGGUUAACUUUCUGAUUUGAGGGAGGGCAGGCAGGAGACAGGUUAACUUUCUGAUUUGAGGGAGGGCAGGCAGGAGACAGGUUAACUUUCUGAUUUGAGGUAGGGCAGGCAGGUGACAGGUUAACUUCCUGAUUUGAGGGAGGGCAGGCAGGAGACAGGUUAACUUCCUGAUUUGAGGUAGGGCAGGCAGGUGACAGGUUAACUUCCUGAUUUGAGGAGGGGAGGCGGAAGGUAGGUUAACUUCUUUCCAUCUUAUAUGUGCUUUAAUUUAAGAACAAAAAUUCCAAACCGUUUUUGUCUCAACAGACAGCAUUUCUGAUUCCAACAGUCUCCACAGAAUUACUCCACUCUUUUCCCUCAGACAAAGAUCAGUGUUGUUUGAUACAAGCAUUUUGCAUUAACAAUUAACAAUGCAUGACUAUAGCACCCUUGUGAAUUGUGAGGUUGCCAUAAAUAUAUAAGGGAUGCCUUGCAAUAUUAAAGUUAAUAGCAUCGGGGAGAAGAUGUGCAAAAAUGCACUGGUUGAGGAAAACAGUGAAUCCAUACUUCAGCGAAUGCUUGAGUUAUGCGCCUGUAGCAACCUGCACGCAGUUCUGAAUGUGUGGUAAAAACAGAGCUUUGCACAAAGAUGUGUUUUAUAUUCGUGCGAACAUUCCUAUCGCUGUAAAAGAGAAGUGUGGGUCAACUCAGUCCCUGGCAGAACAUAUCCACUUUGUCUGAAAUGGAAAUGGAGGGAUGACUUGAAAAAUAAAAACUCUUAAAGAUCAGUGUCUGAAGAUAUAGAAAAUAACAAAAUACAGAAACGUGUUAUUGUAUGUCUUGUUUCACUUGAGAACAGCGUUCCUCUCAGAGGCCAUAGAAUUGUCUGCUAAUUCACAACAUAAACAUUUUAUUUUGACAGUUCAUUAAUCAGUCAGUUGUAAAAAAAACAAUCGGGAGGUAUGGUAAGGUAUGGCUACCAUAUGUUAUUUCUGAAUAACUAAAUAUUGUGUCAAAAGUAGUUUUCAGAUUAAUUGCUGUGAACAUGUACAUAUUGAAAUUGAAAUAGAUAAAUGUAUAUGCAAAAUGUGUACAUCUGCAGCCAUAGUUUCUGCACAUAUUUUUAUAUUUUUAUAUUAUGGAUGAACAUUAUAACUAGGGCUGUCAAACAAUUAAAAAAGUAGAUUUUUGUUAAUUGCAGGAUUUACUGUGAUUAAUCACAAUUAAUCGCAAAUUCCGAAUUUGCUCAAAUAGAGCUGCUAAAAAGCAUUGAUUUUGUAAUGGUAAGUAAUGGAAAGCACAAUCAGGUCAAUUGAUAAAGCAUAUUGUGUUUUGGAUGUUUUCAGUGUAUUUUUAAUGAUUUCAGACAAUGAGAUUAAUCGUGAAAAAAAAUGGUGUAAUUGUGAUAGUAAUUCAUCUGUGUAGUGUAAUAUAAUACAUUACAAUGGUUUUGGAGUAUGAAGCAGUUUCAUUGCAGUUAUGUUCAUGUCAUAGAAGCUAUGUUGUUGUUGAGAUAUACAGUAUGUUUAGAUUUACUGAGAGCAGCAUUCCAUUUUGGGCAUUCAUUAUGUACACUUGUGUUGAGCUAAUUGAGUCAAUCAGCUACAGAAAUAACAUGAGGAGAUAAAGAUUCAUCUAAAGUGAUAGGGUGUGUGUGUGUGUGUGUGUGUGUGUGUGUGUGUGUGUGUGUGUGUGUGUGUGUGUGUGUGUGUGUGUGUGUGUGUGUAUGUGUGUGUGUGUGUAUGUGUGUGUGUGUGUGUGUGUGUGUGUGUGUGUGUGUGUGUGUGUGUGUGUGUGUGUCUAUACAUGCACAUUUUAGGAAUAUGUUCUGGUUAAUAUGAAUAUUGUAGUUAAUGAUAAUUCAUGAUAACAGUAAGUAUCAUUUUUUGUUAUUAUUAUUAAUAUUAUUAUUAUUAUAGAUAACUUUGGUAAGAAUAAUUUCCUAAUUUUGGACAUUGAACCAAAUUGAACAAUGAACUUGUGUUUAUCAUUCCCCGUUUCUUUAUGCACAUAUACAACUAAUGGAAUCAAUCUUGGCAGAACACCGAGUCAUUUAUUUGAAGGAAAACCCACACUUGAUAAAUUAUUUAAAGCAACUGGGAUUACAAUAUGUUAUCAAAUCAGAGCCAACAAAGUCUUCUCUUUCUCUCGCUCUGCGCUGUCGGCAGAGAGGAGACGUGUACCAGCCAGUCUUCAGAACCGGGGUGGGUCUGAUGCUAAAUAAAGAGACAUUCCCUGCAAACUGCUUAUGAUUCCAGAAUAAUUGGUAAAUUCCACAUCGAGGUACAUACUGUAGACUCUGUUAUUCAAAUGUGGCCUUUGUUGGCCUUGUUUACAGGAAUGUUAAUUGGGCUAUUGACACUCUCUGAGUGGACUCCUGUUCUCCUCCUUCAGCUUGUCUUAUUUUCUCUCUCGCUCGUUAUAUUUUCGUUGUUUCAUUCCCUACUUCUGAAUGAACUUUGUUUCACGGUCUCCUUUUCUCUCCAGUCUCAGACGGUGUUAGUUUACUGAAGGUACUUGCUGUUGCAUGUCAACACACAUCCAGUCUGCUGUAGUCAUUUACUGUUCAAUGAUGAAAUAGGAACGAUUGUCCAGAAAUAAUCAUAAGAACGUCAAUUUGUUUUGAUUGAUGAUUCGGAUCAUAAUUCAAUUGAAUAUAACUGAUAUGUGGGUUUUCAUAUUUGUUUUGUUUUGUGGGUUUAAGGCGUUUUUAAAUGUAUCAUUAAUUAAAUUGAAAAAAAUGUAAUCAAUAAUAAUACAAAUAGUUAUUUGAAUAAUUGAAUAAAGAAGCAAUUAUAGUGAAAA